UGGGGAAUAUUGGACAAUGGGCGCAAGCCUGAUCCAGCAAUACCACGUGAGUGAUGAAGGCCUUAGGGUUGUAAAACUCUUUUAGUGGGGAAGAUAAUGACUGUACCCACAGAAAAAGCACCGGCUAACUUCGUGCCAGCAGCCGCGGUAAUACGAAGGGUGCUAGCGUUGUUCGGAAUUAUUGGGCGUAAAGCGUGCGUAGGCGGUUUAGUAAGUCAACUGUGAAAGCCCAGGGCUCAACCUUGGAAUUGCGGCUGAAACUGCUAGACUAGAGUAUGAAGAGGGAUAGUGGAAUUCCUAGUGUAGGGGUGAAAUCCGUAGAUAUUAGGAGGAACACCGGUGGCGAAAGCGACUAUCUAUGCCAUUACUGACGCUGUUGCACGAAAGCGUGGGUAGCAAACAGG
This 404-nucleotide ribosomal RNA is filed under the name uncultured bacterium. RNAcentral's name for it is "bacterial SSU rRNA". It matches the Rfam family "Bacterial small subunit ribosomal RNA", at positions 355 to 776 of the family's 1533-position model. The record is from RNAcentral.